Picea glauca (white spruce) is the source of this 121-nucleotide non-coding RNA. Lineage: Eukaryota; Viridiplantae; Streptophyta; Pinopsida; Pinales; Pinaceae. The record is from Rfam.
GCAUGCCUACAACAUAGUGUUAAUGCAUCGGAUCCUAUUAGAACUUCACAGUUAAGCGCGCUCGGACUAGAGUAUUACUAGGAUGGGUGACCACCCAAGAAGUCCUAGUGUUUUACAUGCC